This 403-nucleotide ribosomal RNA is filed under the name Verrucomicrobiota bacterium. RNAcentral describes it as "Verrucomicrobia bacterium partial 16S ribosomal RNA". It matches the Rfam family "Bacterial small subunit ribosomal RNA", at positions 355 to 776 of the family's 1533-position model. Lineage: Bacteria; Pseudomonadati; Verrucomicrobiota. The record is from RNAcentral.
UGGGGAAUAUUGCACAAUGGGCGCAAGCCUGAUGCAGCAACGCCGCGUGAACGAUGAAGGUCUUCGGAUCGUAAAGUUCUGUUGCAGGGGAAGAUAAUGACGGUACCCUGUGAGGAAGCCCCGGCUAACUACGUGCCAGCAGCCGCGGUAAUACGUAGGGGGCUAGCGUUAUCCGGAUUUACUGGGCGUAAAGGGUGCAUAGGUGGUCUUUCAAGUCGGUGGUUAAAGGCUACGGCUCAACCGUAGUUAGCCUCCGAAACUGGAAGACUUGAGUGCAGGAGAGGAAAGUGGAAUUCCCAGUGUAGCGGUGAAAUGCGUAGAUAUUGGGAGGAACACCAGUAGCGAAGGCGGCUUUCUGGACUGCAACUGACACUGAGGCACGAAAGCGUGGGUAGCAAACAGG